RNAcentral lists this ribosomal RNA (192 nucleotides) under Triticum aestivum (bread wheat). RNAcentral's name for it is "partial small subunit ribosomal RNA". The record is from RNAcentral. Lineage: Eukaryota; Viridiplantae; Streptophyta; Magnoliopsida; Poales; Poaceae.
AUGAAUGGAUGGGGCCUUGCUUUCCGAGCCUGUGGUGACCGGCUGAUUGUCAUUGGAGGCCCAAGGACUUCUAUUGGUGGCAUCAUUGAGCUUAAUUCAUGGGUUCCCGAUGAGCAACCGCCUGUGUGGAAUUUGGUUGCCACACGGCAAUCCGGGAACUUCGUGUAUAACUGCGCCGUGAUGGGUUGCUGA